GAUGAAGAACUUAGCGAAAUGCGAUAAGUAAUGUGAAUUGCAGAAUUCAGUGAAUCAUCGAAUCUUUGAACGCACAUUGCGCCCCCUGGAAUUCCGGGGGGCAUGCCUGUUCGAGCGUCUCAGGGACGAACCCUCGCGCGGGUGUACGCGCGGUCGUGGCUGCGGUGGCGUGCCCGAGGCGGCGGCCACCGCGCUGGAAUCCAUGGGCGGACGCCUGCCGCGUGGCCGAGCGUGAUAUGACGCAUUGGCGCUCGCACGCGGCGAGGCUGCCAGCCCUGGCCCGUCUGUCGGGCGGGGGAGAGCAAGACACGUGAACUCCUCGAAUCAGGUAGGGAUACCCGCUGAACUUAAGCAUAUCAAUAAGCGGAGGA
RNAcentral lists this unclassified non-coding RNA (371 nucleotides) under soil metagenome. RNAcentral's name for it is "partial contains 5.8S ribosomal RNA, internal transcribed spacer 2, and large subunit ribosomal RNA". The stretch from base 1 to 120 matches the Rfam family "5.8S ribosomal RNA", at positions 35 to 154 of the family's 154-position model. The record is from RNAcentral.